AAGGUUGGUUUAUUUUACACUCCCAUCUAUUGUGAAGCAGUUCAGUUGCUGUGAGCGGCUGUAAAGGGUUUAAUCAGGGCAGGAAACGGGUCUGUCCCGGGUCUCAAACGGAUUCUGUCCAUCAACUGAAGGACAGUUUCCUGGUGCAGUGCUGCCAAAUAUCCUGCAGAGGGCAGUAUUGAUCGACUGGUUUUGAUGAAGGCAGAAAGUAUGUGAAGGCAGCA
Long non-coding RNA from Cololabis saira (Pacific saury), 224 nucleotides. RefSeq lists it as uncharacterized. NCBI's taxonomy places the organism in Eukaryota, Metazoa, Chordata, Actinopteri, Beloniformes, Belonidae. The transcript has 3 exons. The record is from RefSeq and is a predicted model, not a curated record.